This 253-nucleotide ribosomal RNA is filed under the name uncultured bacterium. Its description in RNAcentral is "partial 16S ribosomal RNA". It matches the Rfam family "Bacterial small subunit ribosomal RNA", at positions 524 to 776 of the family's 1533-position model. The record is from RNAcentral.
UACGUAGGGGGCUAGCGUUGUCCGGAUUUAUUGGGCGUAAAGAGCGUGUAGGCGGCCAGGUAGGUCUGCUGUGAAAACUCGAGGCUUAACCUCGAGAUGUCGGCGGAAACCAUCUGGCUAGAGUCCGGAAGAGGAGAGUGGAAUUCCUGGUGUAGCGGUGAAAUGCGCAGAUAUCAGGAAGAACACCCGUGGCGAAGGCGGCUCUCUGGGCCUGUACUGACGCUGAGGAGCGAAAGCGUGGGGAGCGAACAGG